GCAGAAAUCAAUGUGUGUCAGUGUUUCUUUGCAACAACUGCAGCACGCAGCCUGGUGACGACACGUGUAUGAGGUAGGAUAUGAAAACAUGACCAAACUAAAAAGGGAAGGGGAAGCAUAAAGAAGAGAUAAGACUUGAUAAACAAACUACAGUACAUCCCCAGCCAGAUCUCGGAGGAAAAAGUCUAAGGAAAACCUGUCAAGUCUGUAGAAUUGCAAUGUUGCUGAGAAAAACAAUUAUGUGUUCUGUAGGUCUACUUUCAGAUAUGAAAUGAAUAUUUAAUUCCCUGUUGAAUUAAAGUUACAUGAACAGUUGUCAGUAA
Carassius gibelio (silver crucian carp) is the source of this 323-nucleotide long non-coding RNA. RefSeq lists it as uncharacterized. Lineage: Eukaryota; Metazoa; Chordata; Actinopteri; Cypriniformes; Cyprinidae. The record is from RefSeq and is a predicted model, not a curated record. The transcript is spliced from 2 exons.